GGAUGCGAUCAUACCAGCACUAACGCACCGGAUCCCAUCAGAACUCCGAAGUUAAGCGUGCUUGGGCGAGAGUGGUACUAGGAUGGGUGACCCCCUGGGAAGUCCUCGUGUUGCAUCCC
Molecule: ribosomal RNA, 119 nt
Filed under: Nicotiana attenuata
Lineage: Eukaryota; Viridiplantae; Streptophyta; Magnoliopsida; Solanales; Solanaceae
Source: RNAcentral